GUGAAGCGGCAACAGCUCAAAUUUGAAAUCUGGCCUCACGGUCCGAGUUGUAAUUUGUAGAGGAUGCUUUUGGCAAGGUACUUUCCGAGUUCCCUGGAACGGGACGCCAUAGAGGGUGAGAGCCCCGUACGGUCAGACCACCGAGCCUCUGUAAAGCUCCUUCGACGAGUCGAGUAGUUUGGGAAUGCUGCUCUAAAUGGGAGGUGUACGUCUUCUAAAGCUAAAUACCGGCCAGAGACCGAUAGCGCACAAGUAGAGUGAUCGAAAGAUGAAAAGCACUUUGAAAAGAGGGUUAAAAAGUACGUGAAAUUGUUGAAAGGGAAGCAUUCAUGACCAGACUUGGGCUUGGUUGAACAUCCGGCGUUCUCGCCGGUGCACUCUGCCAGUCCAGGCCAGCAUCAGUUUGACCCGGGGGACAAAGGCGGCGGGAAUGUGGCUCCCCUCGGGGAGUGUUAUAGCCCGCCGUGUAAUGCCCUGGGUUGGACUGAGGAACGCGC
This 497-nucleotide ribosomal RNA is filed under the name Sarocladium bactrocephalum. RNAcentral's name for it is "partial large subunit ribosomal RNA". It matches the Rfam family "Eukaryotic large subunit ribosomal RNA", at positions 93 to 600 of the family's 3401-position model. The record is from RNAcentral. Lineage: Eukaryota; Fungi; Ascomycota; Sordariomycetes; Hypocreales; Sarocladiaceae.